RNAcentral lists this ribosomal RNA (4758 nucleotides) under Triticum aestivum (bread wheat). Its description in RNAcentral is "partial small subunit ribosomal RNA". The record is from RNAcentral. Lineage: Eukaryota; Viridiplantae; Streptophyta; Magnoliopsida; Poales; Poaceae.
GUGGUGUGUUAAAAAAGGUGCCUGAAUAGUGAAGGGAGAGUGUCCUCUCGGCCCGACAUGUUAGGGGUGGAUCAACCGUUACAAUUGUUCGUUGAGACAACUCUAUCCGUGACGCAAACGUUGGACGUUCAUUUGAAAGUUGGCGUAUAAUCGUCACAGUAGGUCGACCAUGGGCGUGUGCCUCAUUAGCCUAUAAAGACUACGUCAAGAAAACAGGAUAAACACAAGUCCUAGAUCCAGAGUGGAGAAACGACAUUUUUAGGGGCAGAUCUGUCCUGACCCGUUGUAGACUUUAAGUGCUAGCGAAGUCUCCUGACAUCGACUCGAAGAAGUCCAUUAGCGAAGUGUCCUGACGUCGACUCGAAGAAGUCUACAUAGAACACCUGAACUUACCUCUUUCGCGAUAGUUUAGUAGUUACCUUAAACACUACCAAAUAUAAUAGAAGUGGUUUUAGUGUAGCAAGUGAACCUAGAAUUUGGCCGUUUAUAUGACGAUCUACUAUUGUACAACGGCUUUUAACCACUAAAACCAGAUAGUUCCACGAAACCACUUUUCGUUUCGGUCCGAUAAUGUAGUUUUGAUUAACCUUGAUACCCUAUAAACCGUGGUCUUAAAAUAUGCGCGUCUGUCUAGUGUAAGUUCAAUCUGUAAAUAUCAGAACCAUACUAUUAGUAUCUCUAUGAUUGUCCUCUGUCCCCUAUACGACUAUAACUAUUAUAUGAACUCUCCACCUCUUCAUCCAACCUCUUUAGAGUCCCUCUGUUUGUUGACCAUGUUCAUGCUCAUACGCGACUCUAUCGCUAGCUCACGCGACUGAAAUUGGGCCGCUUUGCUGGUCUAUGAGUCGUAUAUUAACUAUCCGAACCGCGUUGUUCUUUACGCCUACUCAAGCGAUGACUUUGACCCCGCUCAUCAUCAAGUAGUCAUCGUUUCAGUCGUCAACACCGGGGACCAGGGUGUUAACCAGGUCUCUUAGGUUACCGAUUACUCAAUUUCUUCAACUGUCUACCUGAUAUACUAUACUGUUUUUUGGUCGCAAAGUCAAACUACGGGCUACUAUCGAGAUUACACGUCGUUCUUUGACUGUAUGUCCUUUGUAGUAGUCUACACCUUCUUAGUGAUUAGUAGCUCUCCUGACUUCUUUCUCUAUUGUACCAUCGAUGAAAUAGACCCUCAUAGAGUGGACUCAAGUGGCAGGAAGGUUAUAUACCGAAACCUCCAUAACCAUUCUGUUGCGACCGGGUUGAUCAAAAGCUACUACGAGUCAAACGUCCAAUGAAAUUCCAAACCCAGAUACACAGGGUUUUAGAACAGGACUUAUUUUAACCGUUGAGAUAUUAUAGUGUCGAUAGUCUCCUCUCGGUACAUCGACUUUCCGUCUACUAUGUAUAAUUUGAGUCUCUCGAUGAACGACCAUUCUUCCAAGAAUAACAGAAUCUACUGCACACCCUCUUCUUAGGUCUAUGUGAUUUAAGAGAGUACCGAUACAAUUCUCAACCACACCUGUCAUACCACUGUCAAUAACAUUGGUGUUCUCUACUUCGUCAACGUUCCCUUUAAACAGUAUGUCAACUUGGUAUGCUCGAUCUCUGAAAUUGUCUAUUUUAGACGACCUUUUAUUAUUUUGUCUUUUGACGGAAAUUGCUAGCUCAACUGUUUUUUGCUAACUUCGUAUAUCCUUCCCUCUAACGUUGGUUUACACCUCCACACCGGAAUCGCCGAGUUAGUGAACCUAUGUGCGACUUCCCCUUCUGCGGACUACUCACCCUCAGUCAUUCUCUGGUAAUAUAGACCUUACAUAGAUAAAACCUCCUUAGUAGCAGUUCUCUAGUACUUCACGAACGCAGGUACGACUAUUCGAUAUCAGUAUACGGACUUACGAACUCCAGUACGAAAUGGAUAACACGUCACAAAGGUUUUCCAGUAUUAUAUCACUUCAUACUAGAUUAAGUGGUUACCUAUCGAGAACCUAAGUGACUCGCCAGAUCCUAUAAACUGAGAUACGUCGAGACGCUCUUUAUACAGCACGUUGAAAACCCCUACAGGAAGGAAGUCAUAAGUUUCUGUGGAUACUCACUAUCUACCACUCUGUUUCUACAAUGUGACAAGUGCUACGUACUGGAUCACGUACUAGAACGUUCUCGUUAGAACCGGCUAGUUCAUUUGUCAUUACCGUCACAAUACCCUUUACCUACGGAGAUACGUAAAGAGUGUCUAACAUCGUUCGGUAACGUCAAUAGGCGCUGAAGAGGACGUUUAUAUUUCCGCAACGUAAAAGAUCUGACACCGUUUAACCUUGAGGUACCACUACGUAAAAGUGAUCCAUGUACGGAGGGACAGAACCUAAAUUCACUUACGGCACAGAACCUAAAUUCACUUACGGAAUAUGCCUUCAACGGUCUUAGACAACCAGUUGACUUUGACAACUCCAAAGAAACACGAGGUUCCUAGGCUCUAGUGUACUAAGGGUUAACAUAGUGGCUCGAGAGUCUUAAUUUAAUAGAGUUGGAAUCUCCGAGAGUAUUAGAGAGUCGUGACGGCCUAAGUUAACCACUAUACUUCCCAGACUACGUAGAACUAGAUAGUCCAACGGUACCUUAUGCACUUGAGGGUUUCAGUAAGCGUCUCGACUUCGUCGACCACGUAGACCUAAAUAGGGUAACGAUAUACAGAUAAAGUUUUCGAAAACCGCCGAAAUGUUUCGAAGUUAUAAACUUAAAUAGUCAAGUCAAAUAAUAACAUCGUUUAUCCUCUCCAGACUGUCUCCAAUAACCAUUAGAUUGGUUUGAGUCCAUAGAUUUAGAUAGUCCCACGUACGUACGAUACCGGGUCAGUUUUCUAGUUCAACUGUAGAACGAACCGAGAGAGUCGUGAGAAAGGUUAGAUCUCGUAGACCUGAAUUGACUCUUAGCUCCCGAAAGAUCAUAUGGUCUUUCAAAACCGUUGGAGUCCUUUGAAGUAUGUAACCUGGAGUAUCCGACGAGGUUGUAUCUCUUCGAAGGACUAUCAUACAAAGUUUAUCAAUUAAACUUCCAAGAUUUACACCUGUUGAAACAAUUUAGGCCCGAGAGGACCAAUUUAGAACGGAACAACGGUGUGAAACACCACGUAGGAAGAUCACUAUUUUCAUCGUCGUUAUAGUGGGACGAAGUCGGAUGUUUAGGACUAUACGACUGCUAUCUAUCUGAACUUCUACACUUCAGACGUCUUCUCCGACUCUCAUAUUUUGACUAGCUCUUUGUUUUUUAAUUUUACGAUCGUAAAGUUACCUGACAUGGACGACAAUCCAAACACCUACUGUUCCUCCACAACCUUUUUGAUCACGGUGGUUCGUCAUGUGUCUAUAACAGAUAUUGACCAAUGUCCUCACAGUGGUAAGGACUAACCAAAUACUCGUAAUCCGUCAUGGAUGGAUUAGAAACAUUCUAUUUAGACACACUAAAAGUAUUCACGUUCUCGAAUGGUGGUGAGCCAGUUGAUGGUUUAGAUGAUCUCGACCCAGAGAUACCGUACCUCUCGAACCUUCUCAAGUUGUGACGUAUAUGGUCACCCCUCCCUCCACGUUUACUCAAUUACAAGGGAUUCGAACUCCGUAACUGGCAUCUCGCUACACGUUUCAACUCCUAUGUUGGUACAGACGGAUCUCUAUAUAGCCAGAACUACUAUUAUCUAACACUAUUACACGAUAAUAGUAACCCUCUCUCGAACAGUGUGUCACGACGAAGGAGGAGUAGAGGUAAUUGACUAAACUGACAAACAUCGUCGUUCCACGGGUACGUAGUCACCUCCAACGAAGUAGUGGAGGGACGGGAGGCAUUCAACUGAUAGCCGGCAACGUCACUAGACUGGUGGAGUUGACUCUAAUAACUUGUGGAGAGGAGAGAGCUUAGUAACAGUGAGCUGGUCGGUCUUGAGGGCUCAACCAACCAACUCGAUUGAAGUGAUGUUCUUGAUUCAAACAGAUGCACGUCUUCGUACUCUGAAACGGUAGCUGCAAAUUCUGACCUUUCUACAGAAUCGGUAGAAAUACAAGAGAGAUGUAGGUAGGUAACUACGAUGCUUACUUCGUUAGGUUCGAAACCGCCGUGUCACCACUGGAUCUCUGGUUCGUGGACGUCCCUCUUUUCUCCGUCAAUGUGCCGUGCCGACUUCUGGUGGUCGGGCAUUCCUCCUUCGUUCCUGUAAUCCUCCGGUUCGGGGUUGGUCAGUCUAGAGCUGUAGGAGCUCAUGCCAUUUCGGAUCACACGUACCUCAGAUACCUGAUACCUCCCGGCACAUCUGAAACCCUUGUACAUGGUAGGAGAUAAGAAUAAUAACAGCCUAAAGAAUGAACCGUAAUUGGACACUUAUAUUAUUUCCGUGUCACCUAUAUAUUCUCUUAGCACAAGCAGGUCUUUUUGUACCUCUCCCCAAAUAUCUACGAUUUCAUUCAUAUACCAUUACUGCUUGUCUACUCUCCUUAUUUAUACCAAUUGUACGUACAUUGAUAUAGUCGACUUUGACUUGCAGUACGAUUCUUUCCUAAACACAUGCACAGUCCAAGUCUCCAAAUCCAGUACCUAGUACAGUCCGUCAUCGUUUGCCGUUGUAGUAUAUACGACUUAUUCCUAAAGACAUCUUUACGUAAAAACGAUGUCUUCCUGUUUGGGCACCCCGUAAAAACAGUUGGUAUUUGAGAUGGACGGUCGUAUAUGAGAUAAUGUAUAAACUAACACCUGACCUUUUCAAAUGUACGUAUAGAGACUGGUAAUUUCUGG